AGCUUGAAGAGCGAUUAACUCUUGAUUACCCAAAUUCUCUGCAUAUUUAUAGCAAGGGCAACUAGUACCAAGUGUGCUCUUGAAUACUGGGCAACAUGGAUCAAUUUUAGUUUCGUUGAACAUGCACUUGUAAAUCUUUGCUUCGUCACUAGCUGAGCAGCUCGAACUCGGGGCGGGUGGGGGUGGGCAUGGUGGUGGAGGUGGUGGAGGGCAUGGCCGUGGUGGUGGUGGUGGAGGAGGGCUAGGACAUGGCCACGGCCGUGGCCACGGGAAUGGCCACGGCAGAUAACAUGGAAUUUUCCAUGGCCAAAGUUGUAACUCAUUUCCGUCAUCGGCCACGACUACUUCUCUUGCCGUGGCAACUUGUUGGUGGCUGCAAAAUAAAAUUGCAGCCACCAAUAAGGUAAGGAGCAUUUUCAUGGUUGCCAUUUUUCAGUGAGUGGUUUG
Molecule: long non-coding RNA, 447 nt
Filed under: Nicotiana tabacum (common tobacco)
Lineage: Eukaryota; Viridiplantae; Streptophyta; Magnoliopsida; Solanales; Solanaceae
Description: long non-coding RNA (NTAB_LNC018849)
Source: RNAcentral